Molecule: ribosomal RNA, 1069 nt
Filed under: Neofusicoccum luteum
Lineage: Eukaryota; Fungi; Ascomycota; Dothideomycetes; Botryosphaeriales; Botryosphaeriaceae
Description: SSU rRNA
Rfam family: Eukaryotic small subunit ribosomal RNA
Source: RNAcentral
GUAUAAGCAAUCUAUACUGUGAAACUGCGAAUGGCUCAUUAAAUCAGUUAUCGUUUAUUUGAUAGUACCUUACUACUUGGAUAACCGUGGUAAUUCUAGAGCUAAUACAUGCUAAAAACCCCGACUUCGGAAGGGGUGUAUUUAUUAGAUAAAAAACCAAUGCCCUUCGGGGCUCCUUGGUGAUUCAUGAUAACUUAACGAAUCGCAUGGCCUUGCGCCGGCGAUGGUUCAUUCAAAUUUCUGCCCUAUCAACUUUCGAUGGUAGGAUAGUGGCCUACCAUGGUAUCAACGGGUAACGGGGAAUUAGGGUUCUAUUCCGGAGAGGGAGCCUGAGAAACGGCUACCACAUCCAAGGAAGGCAGCAGGCGCGCAAAUUACCCAAUCCCGACACGGGGAGGUAGUGACAAUAAAUACUGAUACAGGGCUCUUUUGGGUCUUGUAAUUGGAAUGAGUACAAUUUAAAUACCUUAACGAGGAACAAUUGGAGGGCAAGUCUGGUGCCAGCAGCCGCGGUAAUUCCAGCUCCAAUAGCGUAUAUUAAAGUUGUUGCAGUUAAAAAGCUCGUAGUUGAACCUUGGGCCUGGCUGGCCGGUCCGCCUCACCGCGUGUACUGGUCCGGCCGGGCCUUUCCUUCUGGGGAUCCUCAUGCCCUUCACUGGGUGUGCUGGGGAACCAGGACUUUUACUUUGAAAAAAUUAGAGUGUUCAAAGCAGGCCUUUGCUCGAAUACAUUAGCAUGGAAUAAUAGAAUAGGACGUGCGGUCCUAUUUUGUUGGUUUCUAGGACCGCCGUAAUGAUUAAUAGGGAUAGUCGGGGGCAUCAGUAUUCAAUUGUCAGAGGUGAAAUUCUUGGAUUUAUUGAAGACUAACUACUGCGAAAGCAUUUGCCAAGGAUGUUUUCAUUAAUCAGUGAACGAAAGUUAGGGGAUCGAAGACGAUCAGAUACCGUCGUAGUCUUAACCGUAAACUAUGCCGACUAGGGAUCGGGCGAUGUUAUUCUUUUGACUCGCUCGGCACCUUACGAGAAAUCAAAGUCUUUGGGUCUGGGGGGAGUAUGGUCCAAGGUGAUAG